RNAcentral lists this ribosomal RNA (220 nucleotides) under uncultured prokaryote. Its description in RNAcentral is "partial 16S ribosomal RNA". It matches the Rfam family "Bacterial small subunit ribosomal RNA", at positions 524 to 743 of the family's 1533-position model. The record is from RNAcentral.
UACAGAGGUCUCGAGCGUUGUUCGGAUUAAUUGGGCGUAAAGGGUGCGCAGGUGGUGGGGUAAGUCGGAUGUGAAAUCCCGGGGCUCAACCCUGGAACUGCAUUCGAUACUGCCUUACUUGAGUACUGGAGAGGAGAUUGGAAUUUACGGUGUAGCAGUGAAAUGCGUAGAGAUCGUGAGGAAGACCAGUGGCGAAGGCGGGUCUCUGGACAGUUCCUGA